This 293-nucleotide ribosomal RNA is filed under the name Limonius infuscatus. RNAcentral's name for it is "partial large subunit ribosomal RNA". The record is from RNAcentral. Lineage: Eukaryota; Metazoa; Arthropoda; Insecta; Coleoptera; Elateridae.
ACUGUCUCUAGAAAAUUUAUUAUUAAAAUUAACUUUUAAGUUAAAAGGCUUAAAUUUUACUUAAAGACGAGAAGACCCUAUAGAGUUUUAUACCUAUAAUUAUAAUGAGUACUUGGUUAUUUUAUUUUCUUGUCUGAUUAGGUAUUUGGUUGGGGUGACUUAAAGAUUAAAUAAACUCUUUAAAUUUAUAAUCAUUGAUUUGUGAAUUUAUAAUCUAGUUUUUUAAAGUUAAAAUAAAUUACCUUAGGGAUAACAGCGUAAUUUCUUUUUAGAGUUCUUAUUGAAAGAGAAGU